UACGGGGGGGGUAAGCGUUGUUCGGAAUUACUGGGCGUAAAGGGCUCGUAGGCGGCCAACUAAGUCAGACGUGAAAUCCCUCGGCUUAACCGGGGAACUGCGUCUGAUACUGGAUGGCUUGAAUCCGGGAGAGGGAUGCGGAAUUCCAGGUGUAGCGGUGAAAUGCGUAGAUAUCUGGAGGAACACCGGUGGCGAAGGCGGCAUCCUGGACCGGCAUUGACGCUGAGGCGCGAAAGCCAGGGGAGCAAACGGG
RNAcentral lists this ribosomal RNA (253 nucleotides) under uncultured bacterium. Its description in RNAcentral is "partial 16S ribosomal RNA". It matches the Rfam family "Bacterial small subunit ribosomal RNA", at positions 524 to 776 of the family's 1533-position model. The record is from RNAcentral.